UACGGAGGGUGCAAGCGUUGCUCGGAAUUACUGGGCGUAAAGCGCACGUAGGCGGCUUUGCAAGUCCCAUGUGAAAUCCCACGGCUCAACCGUGGAAGUGCAUGGGAAACUGCAGAGCUUGAGUACUUAAGAGGAUCGCGGAAUUCCCGGUGUAGAGGUGAAAUUCGUAGAUAUCGGGAGGAACACCAGUGGCGAAGGCGGCGAUCUGGGAAGAUACUGACGCUGAGGUGCGAAAGCGUGGGGAGCAAACAGG
RNAcentral lists this ribosomal RNA (253 nucleotides) under uncultured bacterium. RNAcentral's name for it is "partial 16S ribosomal RNA". It matches the Rfam family "Bacterial small subunit ribosomal RNA", at positions 524 to 776 of the family's 1533-position model. The record is from RNAcentral.